CCCUUAGAUGUUCUGGGCCGCACGCGCGCUACACUGAUGCAUUCAACGAGUCUAAAACCUGGUCUGAUAGGGCUGGGUAAUCUUUUGAAAGUGCAUCGUGAUCGGGAUAGAUGAUUGCAAUUCUUCAUCUUCAACGAGGAAUGCCUAGUAAACGCAAGUCAUCAGCUUGCAUUGAUUACGUCCCUGCCCUUUGUACACACCGCCCGUCGCUCCUACCGAUUGAAUGAUCCGAUGAAUACCAUGGAUUGAGAGUACGAAUGGGUUCGCUCAUUUCUGCUGCUCGAGAAGUGGAGUAAAUCUUAUCAUUUAGAGGAAGGAGAAGUCGUAACA
RNAcentral lists this ribosomal RNA (330 nucleotides) under uncultured eukaryote. RNAcentral describes it as "partial 18S ribosomal RNA". It matches the Rfam family "Eukaryotic small subunit ribosomal RNA", at positions 1470 to 1796 of the family's 1831-position model. The record is from RNAcentral.